CAGUAGCCGCGGGAAUACAGAGGGUGCGAGCGUUAAUCGGAUUUACUGGGCGUAAAGCGUGCGUAGGCGGCUUUUUAAGUCGGAUGUGAAAUCCCUGAGCUUAACUUAGGAAUUGCAUUCGAUACUGGGAAGCUAAAGUAUGGGAGAGGAUGGUAGAAUUCCAGGUGUAGCGGUGAAAUGCGUAGAGAUCUGGAGGAAUACCGAUGGCGAAGGCAGCCAUCUGGCCUAAUACUGACGCUGAGGUACGAAAGCAUGGGGAGCAAACAGGAUUAGAUACCCCAGUAGUCCCUGUCUCUUAUAC
Molecule: ribosomal RNA, 301 nt
Filed under: uncultured bacterium
Lineage: Bacteria
Description: partial 16S ribosomal RNA
Rfam family: Bacterial small subunit ribosomal RNA
Source: RNAcentral